RNAcentral lists this ribosomal RNA (449 nucleotides) under uncultured bacterium. RNAcentral describes it as "bacterial SSU rRNA". It matches the Rfam family "Bacterial small subunit ribosomal RNA", at positions 30 to 469 of the family's 1533-position model. The record is from RNAcentral.
AUUGAACGCUGGCGGCGUGCCUAACACAUGCAAGUCGAGCGGUAACAGGUGUAGCAAUACAUGCUGACGAGCGGCGAACGGGUGAGUAAUGCUUCGGAAUCUGCCCAUGUAGUGGGGAAUAACCAGCCGAAAGGUUGGCUAAUACCGCAUACGACCUACGGGUGAAAGCAGGGGAUCGCAAGACCUUGCGCUAUUGGAUGAGCCGAAGUCGGAUUAGCUAGUUGGUAGGGUAACGGCCUACCAAGGCGACGAUUCGUAGCUGGUCUGAGAGGACGACCAGCCACACUGGGACUGAGACACGGCCCAGACUCCUACGGGAGGCAGCAGUGGGGAAUAUUGGACAAUGGGGGCGAACCCUGAUCCAGCGACGCCGCGUGUGUGAAGAAGGCCUGCGGGUUGUAAAGCACCUUUAGUGGGGAUGAAAAGCUCGGGGCUAAUACCUCCGGGUC